CGCCCAACAGCUAGCCCCCCCCAACCAUAAACAAUAAACCACUAUUCAUACCCCUUAAUACACUAAUAUUGUGUUAAACAAACCAUUUUUCCCCCUAAGUAUGUGCGACAGAAAAGGGACUGUGGAGCGAUAGAGAAAGUACCGCAAGGGAACGCUGAAAGAGAAGUGAAAAAACCCAGUGAAGCGUUAAGAAGCAGAGAUGAAACCUCGUACCUUUUGCAUCAUGAUUUAGCCAGUGUAACCCAAGCAAAGUGUGCUUUAGUUUGAUAACCCGAAACUAAGUGAGCUACUCCAAGACAGCCUAUUAAUAGGGCAAACCCGUCUCUGUGGCAAAAGAGUGGGAAGAGCUUUGAGUAGAGGUGACAGACCUACCGAACUUAGUUAUAGCUGGUUGCCUGGGAAUUGGAUAGAAGUUCAGCCUCCCAGAUUCUUUAUUCACCUCAGUAUUACCCCUUCUGAUACCUUUAAGAAGCAGAGAGAGUUAGUCAAAGGGGGUACAGCCCCUUUGAAUCAAGAUACAACUUUUCCAGGAGGGUAAAGAUCAUA
Molecule: ribosomal RNA, 546 nt
Filed under: Etheostoma blennioides (greenside darter)
Lineage: Eukaryota; Metazoa; Chordata; Actinopteri; Perciformes; Percidae
Description: partial 16S large subunit ribosomal RNA
Rfam family: Bacterial large subunit ribosomal RNA
Source: RNAcentral